This 1341-nucleotide ribosomal RNA is filed under the name uncultured bacterium. RNAcentral describes it as "16S ribosomal RNA". It matches the Rfam family "Bacterial small subunit ribosomal RNA", at positions 45 to 1400 of the family's 1533-position model. The record is from RNAcentral.
UGCCUAAUACAUGCAAGUCGAACGGUAAGGCCCUUUCGGGGGUACACGAGUGGCGAACGGGUGAGUAACACGUGGGUGAUCUGCCCUGCACUUUGGGAUAAGCCUGGGAAACUGGGUCUAAUACCGAAUACACCUCGCUGGCUGCAUGGUUGGUGGGGGAAAGCUUUUGCGGUGUGGGAUGGGCCCGCGGCCUAUCAGCUUGUUGGUGGGGUGAUGGCCUACCAAGGCGACGACGGGUAGCCGGCCUGAGAGGGUGUCCGGCCACACUGGGACUGAGAUACGGCCCAGACUCCUACGGGAGGCAGCAGUGGGGAAUAUUGCACAAUGGGCGCAAGCCUGAUGCAGCGACGCCGCGUGAGGGAUGACGGCCUUCGGGUUGUAAACCUCUUUCAAUAGGGACGAAGCGCAAGUGACGGUACCUAUAGAAGAAGCACCGGCCAACUACGUGCCAGCAGCCGCGGUAAUACGUAGGGUGCGAGCGUUGUCCGGAAUUACUGGGCGUAAAGAGCUCGUAGGUGGUUUGUCGCGUUGUUCGUGAAAACCGGGGGCUUAACCCUCGGCGUGCGGGCGAUACGGGCAGACUGGAGUACUGCAGGGGAGACUGGAAUUCCUGGUGUAGCGGUGGAAUGCGCAGAUAUCAGGAGGAACACCGGUGGCGAAGGCGGGUCUCUGGGCAGUAACUGACGCUGAGGAGCGAAAGCGUGGGGAGCGAACAGGAUUAGAUACCCUGGUAGUCCACGCCGUAAACGGUGGGUACUAGGUGUGGGUUUCCUUCCUUGGGAUCCGUGCCGUAGCUAACGCAUUAAGUACCCCGCCUGGGGAGUACGGCCGCAAGGCUAAAACUCAAAGGAAUUGACGGGGGCCCGCACAAGCGGCGGAGCAUGUGGAUUAAUUCGAUGCAACGCGAAGAACCUUACCUGGGUUUGACAUACACUGGAAAGCCAUGGAGACAUGGCCUCCGCAAGGCCGGUGUACAGGUGGUGCAUGGCUGUCGUCAGCUCGUGUCGUGAGAUGUUGGGUUAAGUCCCGCAACGAGCGCAACCCUUGUCUCAUGUUGCCAGCGGGUUAUGCCGGGGACUCAUGAGAGGCUGCCGGGGUCAACUCGGAGGAAGGUGGGGACGACGUCAAGUCAUCAUGCCCCUUAUGUCCAGGGCUUCACACAUGCUACAAUGGCCGGUACAGAGGGCUGCUAAGCCGUGAGGUGGAGCGAAUCCCACAAAGCCGGUCUCAGUUCGGAUCGGGGUCUGCAACUCGACCCCGUGAAGUCGGAGUCGCUAGUAAUCGCAGAUCAGCAACGCUGCGGUGAAUACGUUCCCGGGCCUUGCACACACCGCCCGUCAC